Molecule: ribosomal RNA, 493 nt
Filed under: uncultured bacterium
Lineage: Bacteria
Description: partial 16S ribosomal RNA
Rfam family: Bacterial small subunit ribosomal RNA
Source: RNAcentral
ACGAACGCUGGCGGCGUGCCUCAUACAUGCAAGUCGCGCGGACUUAAAAAGCUUGCUUUUUAAGUUAGCGGCGGACGGGUGAGUAACACGUGGGCAACCUGCCUGUAAGACUGGGAUAACUUCGGGAAACCGGAGCUAAUACCGGAUAAUCCUUUUCUACUCAUGUAGAAAAGCUGAAAGACGGUUUACGCUGUCACUUACAGAUGGGCCCGCGGCGCAUUAGCUAGUUGGUGAGGUAACGGCUCACCAAGGCGACGAUGCGUAGCCGACCUGAGAGGGUGAUCGGCCACACUGGGACUGAGACACGGCCCAGACUCCUACGGGAGGCAGCAGUAGGGAAUCUUCCGCAAUGGACGAAAGUCUGACGGAGCAACGCCGCGUGAGUGAUGAAGGUUUUCGGAUCGUAAAACUCUGUUGUUAGGGAAGAACAAGUACGAGAGUAACUGCUCGUACCUUGACGGUACCUAACCAGAAAGCCACGGCUAACUACGUG